Long non-coding RNA from Poecilia latipinna (sailfin molly), 1968 nucleotides. RefSeq lists it as uncharacterized. Lineage: Eukaryota; Metazoa; Chordata; Actinopteri; Cyprinodontiformes; Poeciliidae. The transcript has 6 exons. The record is from RefSeq and is a predicted model, not a curated record.
UGACCCUCUGGCGGGCUGAGAAAACGGCUUACAGCAGAUAUUAGGAGCAGCUAACAUAACCGCUGUACUUUCUGUUCACAGGUAAGCUGAGCUGUGCUGCAGGGCGUCCAGAGCAGCAGUGGGUUCUUUGUCAGAUUGGACUACAAGCAGCUCGCAGGCACUGAUGGUGGAGAGCUACACUGCUGCCCCAGGGCAGAUUGAAAGAAGCAAAGCUGCCAUAUCCACCAAGCCCUCUGACCACCACCUGCAGGCAAGGACUGGCUGGAUUGGUCCUUAUUGAGUCACCAACCUCAACUCCACUUGUGUCUUCAGCACUUUUGAGCAGAGCUAAACAACAGCUGCCUGAAAACCUGACAUGUGCAGAAAUUGAUGGCUCCUUCUUCUGUAGGAAUGGGAAACCUUACAGUUUAUUUCAGCUUUCCCACAGAGGAAUGUAUCUGGAGGAUAAAGAUAAAAGAAAUCAGCCGGCGGGGGGAUAAAGAGGUCCUCAAGUUGACAUUAUUCAGCCAUCUGAGCGGGAGACUUUCAGAUACUUCAAUGUUGACUGAUAAAGGAGAACACCACACCCCAAUUUAUCUUCAUUCGCAGCAGACAGAUUGCAGCAGCGAGUGCGUCUGGACAGGAAAGGCCAACAGAGGGAGUAGAUUGUUCAGCUGCAAAUGAAUCCAAUGUCUUCUGUGUGCAGGAUGGAUGAGGGAGUGUUGCCUGUGUGUUAAAGCGCUCUAUAUGCCAGACUGCCAGACUCCAUGUAUGGAGAUAGAUAGGCUCAGCAAUGACCAUCAUUAUGUCAAAUGUCCCCUUUUGCUUCACUGUUCCUUGUGGUGAUGGAUCUAGUAUUCAACUCAGAAGGGCGCCAUGACCUCUGAGCUCAGGCAAGCUGCAUCUUUGGGGAUUUUGGCUUUCUUCCACCAACCAAAAACAUUCAUUUUAGGUUAAGAAGACACUUUUAGUGGCAUUUAAGUGUUAGUGUGUGCAUGAAUUUAAUUUUUUUUCCCAUUUGUUCCAAGCUGGACUGGAGUUCUAUACUUUGCCUUGUCUGUUAUGAAAAUGGAAAUUGAUAUAUGGAAUGUAGAGUUUCAUAGAGUAAGGCAUUUUUUUUUUUUUUUAGAUUUUGGUUUUCUUCCUCGUGAUCCAAGCUGCUGCAGAUGCACUAAACAUAUAUUGACCUUGACAUGCUAAAUACUUACCCUAGGCUGACAUGAGUUGGAUCUGUUUUCUAACGAAUUCAGCCAACAAUCAGAACAUUAAACUUUCAACAUAAGUUCAUCAGGCAGCAAUUAAGUGUGGAAAGUAAUGCAGACAUUUUAAGGGAGUAAAGGACUGAAAUGUCACAUGUGCACCAUUUCUUCAAUUUGAACCCGCAUCAGUCAUGUUUUCAGAUGGGCAGACAUAUUGUUUAAACUGUGGUAAUAAUUUCAUAAAUACAAUCAGAAGCUCUAAGCAGCCUGGAAAGAAAAUGCAAUGUAAAUUCUCAAGUGGAUAUUUACUCUGAAUUUUCAGAGGGAGACGGCGAGUAAAAUCACAUAAUAGGACAAAAGGAUUUCCAGUUUUAUACAGGGAAGGUGGAUGUUCAACAGGCAUCCAAAGGUCAUAAAAGGCAUUUGGAGCAAGCCAGUGCACAUCCACAAUAACAUUCCUACCAGCUGAAACGACGACCAUGGGCUAAUGGUGUGAGGUAACACAAAAUGAUGGAGCAGAAGGUCAUAAACCUUUGGCCACUCACCAGGACACACCUGGCCUUUUAAAUGUGUAGAGGCAGGAAAACACUGUGGGUGCACACCUGGAUGAGACAUGCGAGUGUCUCGUUUCAAGGCAAAUGUUAAAUCUGGCUGAUAAGAAACAAUUACUUAUGAUACAGAUUUUCACUGGAACCUGACUUUUUAUUAAAGCCACGCUUUCUCAACUUUUUUUUGUUUUUACCAUCUAGUCUUUCAAUGUCUCCAAUUUAUAUAAUUAAGUGGUAAGUUG